Molecule: long non-coding RNA, 354 nt
Filed under: Amborella trichopoda
Lineage: Eukaryota; Viridiplantae; Streptophyta; Magnoliopsida; Amborellales; Amborellaceae
Description: long non-coding RNA (ATRI_LNC002340)
Source: RNAcentral
AGAAAUCUGAGAUAGGAGGAGAGAACGAUCCAAUGACGAAGAACUCCUUUUUUAUUUUCAGCUCUUCCCACUCAAAAGAUAAAAUCCUAACUAAGGGCCAGACAGAACUUACCAUCACGAACCCUAGAAGGAACUUCUCUCAUCACCCUUUUUUACACAAAGCCAUCAUCCUUCUAUAUCAAGCAUGUAAUUACCUUGAUCAGUAAUUAUGUGCAUGAAAAAGUAUAAGGGAACGCGGGUUGAAGGGCCAAAGACUAACAAGUAACAACACAAUUGUGCGUGAAAUCUCUCAAUGAACAGCAGAGUGAUUGAGAGAAAACCCCAACUCUGAACCAGAAGAGCAGAGAAACCUUU